GACGAACGCUGGCGGCGUGCUUAACACACGCAAGUCGAACGGAAAGGCCCUGCUUUUGUGGGGUGUUCGAGUGGCGAACGGGUGAGUAACACGUGAGUAACCUGCCCUUGACUUUGGGAUAACUUCAGGAAACUGGGGCUAAUACCGGAUAGGAGCUCCUGCUGCAUGGUGGGGGUUGGAAAGUUUCGGCGGUUGGGGAUGGACUCGCGGCUUAUCAGCUUGUUGGUGGGGUAGUGGCUUACCAAGGCUUUGACGGGUAGCCGGCCUGAGAGGGUGACCGGCCACAUUGGGACUGAGAUACGGCCCAGACUCCUACGGGAGGCAGCAGUGGGGAAUAUUGCACAAUGGGCGGAAGCCUGAUGCAGCAACGCCGCGUGCGGGAUGACGGCCUUCGGGUUGUAAACCGCUUUCGCCUGUGACGAAGCGUGAGUGACGGUAAUGGGUAAAGAAGCACCGGCUAACUACGUG
Molecule: ribosomal RNA, 468 nt
Filed under: uncultured bacterium
Lineage: Bacteria
Description: partial 16S ribosomal RNA
Rfam family: Bacterial small subunit ribosomal RNA
Source: RNAcentral